RNAcentral lists this ribosomal RNA (253 nucleotides) under uncultured bacterium. RNAcentral's name for it is "partial 16S ribosomal RNA". It matches the Rfam family "Bacterial small subunit ribosomal RNA", at positions 524 to 776 of the family's 1533-position model. The record is from RNAcentral.
UACCGAGGUCUCAAGCGUUGUUCGGAUUCAUUGGGCGUAAAGGGUGCGUAGGCGGCGCGGUAAGUCGGGUGUGAAAUCUCGGAGCUUAACUCCGAAACUGCAUUCGAUACUGCCGUGCUUGAGGACUGGAGAGGAGACUGGAAUUUACGGUGUAGCGGUGAAAUGCGUAGAUAUCGUAAGGAAGACCAGUGGCGAAGGCGGGUCUCUGGACAGUUCCUGACGCUGAGGCAUGAAGGUCAGGGGAGCAAACGGG